GACGAACGCUGGCGGCGUGCUUAACACAUGCAAGUCGAACGGAAAGGCCCUGCUUUUGUGGGGUGCUCGAGUGGCGAACGGGUGAGUAACACGUGAGUAACCUGCCCUUGACUUUGGGAUAACUUCAGGAAACUGGGGCUAAUACCGGAUAGGAGCUCCUGCUGCAUGGUGGGGGUUGGAAAGUUUCGGCGGCUGGGGAUGGACUCGCGGCUUAUCAGCUUGUUGGUGGGGUAGUGGCUUACCAAGGCUUUGACGGGUAGCCGGCCUGAGAGGGUGACCGGCCACAUUGGGACUGAGAUACGGCACAGACUCCUACGGGAGGCAGCAGUGGGGAAUAUUGCACAAUGGGCGGAAGCCUGAUGCAGCAACGCCGCGUGCGGGAUGACGGCCUUCGGGUUGUAAACCGCUUUCGCCUGUGACGAAGCGUGAGUGACGGUAAUGGGUAAAGAAGCACCGGCUAACUACGUG
This 468-nucleotide ribosomal RNA is filed under the name uncultured bacterium. RNAcentral's name for it is "partial 16S ribosomal RNA". It matches the Rfam family "Bacterial small subunit ribosomal RNA", at positions 28 to 507 of the family's 1533-position model. The record is from RNAcentral.